This 253-nucleotide ribosomal RNA is filed under the name uncultured bacterium. RNAcentral's name for it is "partial 16S ribosomal RNA". It matches the Rfam family "Bacterial small subunit ribosomal RNA", at positions 524 to 776 of the family's 1533-position model. The record is from RNAcentral.
UACGUAGGGUGCUAGCGUUGUCCGGAAUUAUUGGGCGUAAAGGGCUCGUAGGCGGUCUGUCGCGUCGGGAGUGAAAACUCAGGGCUUAACCCUGAGCCUGCUUCCGAUACGGGCAGACUAGAGGUAUGCAGGGGAGAACGGAAUUCCUGGUGUAGCGGUGGAAUGCGCAGAUAUCAGGAGGAACACCGGUGGCGAAGGCGGCGACCUGGGUCGAGACUGACGCUGAGGCGCGAAAGCGUGGGGAGCAAACAGG